Fundulus heteroclitus (mummichog) is the source of this 1150-nucleotide long non-coding RNA. RefSeq lists it as uncharacterized. The record is from RefSeq and is a predicted model, not a curated record. Lineage: Eukaryota; Metazoa; Chordata; Actinopteri; Cyprinodontiformes; Fundulidae. The transcript has 6 exons.
AGUCUGCGGUGAUUCGCUUUGGAUGGAAGUCAUGGAAGAUGAAGGUGAAUCUUCCAUUUUGUUUAGGACUUUUUUGAGGGAAGACACCAGUCCUGGCAGCUCUAAAAUAAGGAUAUAAUAUAAAAAGGGGAAAAGGCAGAAGACAUAAACAGUACAAGCAGUACCUUUGCAGCACAGGUGUUGAAGUCCCUGACAGAAUUUUAGGACAUCAUGACAGAGAACUUCCAGCUCACCAUGAUGCACCACUGCAGCCAAUAGCAGGAAAACGGAAGAGAGCUGACAGUAAGAAUGGAUCAGCUGCUGAGGACAAUGUAGUUGAUCUAGGAGAGCACCAGACCAUGCAAGAACCAGAGAGUGAGAGACCCAACCCAAAUCCGUCACAGAAUGGAUCAGCUGCUAAGGACGAUGUAGUUGACAUAGGAGAGCAACAGACCAUGCAAGAACCAGAGAGUGAGAGACCCAACCCAAAUCCGUCACAGGAUGGAAAUUGUGAAGAUGACCUUUUGUACCCAGGAGCACCAAUUACCAGAGGUCAAAGUUUGCUGCUUCUAAUGGCUUACGUCCUGAGGCAUAACCUGACCGGGAUUGCUCUGGACCAUCUUUUACGGAUUUUUCAUGAACUUUUCCCUGCACUGAUACCAGCAACCUCGUAUCUCUUCCAUAAAUCCUAUGGCCUAUAUGGCGAGUAUGUGCCCCAUUUCUACUGCCACCAGUGUUCAAAUUAUAUUGGAACAAAAGAUUGUGGUUUAACACAGUGUGUUCUGUGUGAGGCAGAAUUUGAUGUGGAUGCUAGUCUAGAAAAGGGUUCAUAUUUUUUGGUUAUCAGUUUAUCUUUGCAAAUUAAAGAGAUUCUGGAAAAUCCCAACAUCAAAACCCAAAGAUAUACAUCAACUCCAGGUUUAAUUUGUGAUGUCCAAUGUGGAGGGGAGUAUAGGAGGCUUAAAGAUAGUGGUGAAAUAGGUGAUGAUGACAUCAGUCUGAUCUGGAACAGUGAUGGGAUCCCUGUUUUUAAAAGCUCUAGAUGCCAAAUAUGGCCGAUUCAGUGCCAAAUCAUAGAACUACACCCUACAGACAGGAAGAACAACAUAUGUGUUCCUUGUCUUUGGUUUGGAGAGAGCAAGCCUAAUAUACAGACUCUCCUAAUUCCAUU